RNAcentral lists this ribosomal RNA (200 nucleotides) under uncultured bacterium. Its description in RNAcentral is "partial 16S ribosomal RNA". It matches the Rfam family "Bacterial small subunit ribosomal RNA", at positions 29 to 258 of the family's 1533-position model. The record is from RNAcentral.
AGCGAACGCUGGCGGCAGGCCUAACACAUGCAAGUCGAACGCACCUUCGGGUGAGUGGCGGACGGGUGAGUAACACGUGGGAACGUACCUUUUGGUUCGGAAUAACGCAGGGAAACUUGUGCUAAUACCGAAUGUGCCCUUCGGGGGAAAGAUUUAUCGCCAUUAGAGCGGCCCGCGUUAGACUAGCUAGUUGGUGAGGU